This is a long non-coding RNA of Phyllostomus hastatus (greater spear-nosed bat), 736 nucleotides long. RefSeq lists it as uncharacterized. The transcript has 2 exons. The record is from RefSeq and is a predicted model, not a curated record. NCBI's taxonomy places the organism in Eukaryota, Metazoa, Chordata, Mammalia, Chiroptera, Phyllostomidae.
AGGCAAAGGCCUCCUGCAACCACAGCCUCCAGCUUUCCUGCUCCACAUACUGGCGCAUCCAGUUGGACCUGCAGACACAGAGCCACUUCUGAAGUUGUGCAAGGCUGAAAAAGACAGGCCACCUGCAAGCCUGGUCACUCUGUGGCCUGGCAGCUUGACCACCAUGUCCGUGCCCCCGUGCCUGGGACUCUGUGGGACUUUCGGCACCAGGUUCCUUUCCACAGGAGGGAGAGAGGCAGCCUCUGCUUCUACCGCAGAUAACCCUUCAGAUGACAUCAAAAAUGUAUGUGAAGUUAUGACUAACCAGCCAGGAUAAUGAGAACUAAAAGGAGGCUAUCUCCUUGUGGUAACCUGAUUGCAAGAUGUGUUCUACGUAAAAACGACAACGCCUCUAGCAGCAAAGUACUUAGGGGAAAAGCAAAGGAAAAAGGAAGUCUCUCUUGACUCAUCAAAAAAAUACGAAUGAAUAAAGUGAAGUUUAAGGAACAGAUAAAUAAAAGAAUGUCAAAUGUUACUGAGAAGAGAGAAAAGUUUCAACAAUGAAAUAAAUUAUCUAGUUCAGAUGAUCUGAAAGAGAAAGAGAGUCUAGAUGACUGAAAACACGUGCCUAGGGGUGACAGAAGACUAAGGGAAAAAAGUAGAUUCUGGAAGAAACUAAAAAAUAUGACUCGACAUAAGAAAUGGGGAAGUUGGUUUUAAAAGUUGAGACAGAGAAAUAAAAAUGCCUUACAUUUCA